ACGGGAAUGCUGUUCAAGUCAGCAACUGUGCCGCAGCGGUGAUCCCCCGAUUCAAUCGGGGGUAAGUCCGAAGACCG
RNAcentral lists this non-coding RNA (77 nucleotides) under Candidatus Gottesmaniibacteriota. The record is from RNAcentral.